Long non-coding RNA from Anthonomus grandis grandis, 796 nucleotides. RefSeq lists it as uncharacterized. Lineage: Eukaryota; Metazoa; Arthropoda; Insecta; Coleoptera; Curculionidae. The record is from RefSeq and is a predicted model, not a curated record. The transcript is spliced from 2 exons.
UGAAAAGGCGGCAAAACUGCAGAAACGGCAGGAGAGUUAUGUCCUUCAUGAAUUAUAAAGGCAGCAAUGGUGAAAGGGACACAUGCAAGAAGGGAGCCAUGUAUUUAAGAAAUGUUCCUGUUUUAUCGGCCGCUGCCAACCAGCUGUCGCUCGUCACGUGGGUUGCAGAUUACUGUUUUACCGGCCACUAUCGAUCAGCUGUCACGUGUUGGAUUUCACACUGAUACGUUGGAAGCAAAAUGGCGGGAAGUCGAGCAUGAGGUGUAAUUGAGGUUAUGAAGCACGAGGUGUGAUUGGGGUUAUGAAGACUAUGCAAUUAAUUAUUUUCUUACUAAAAUGUCUUCCCUCCUGUUACACUGAAAAUCCAUAAGGGCAUCGCAGCUGCUAUACAAUCAAUGCGUCCUUUCUUUCACCGGUGUAGAUUUCGUCACCAUAAUUUGCUCAAAGACGACACGAUCACGUCGGGGUCACCAAAUUUGGGGUCCAAAGGGUUGUCUCCACGUUGUUGUAUCAAAUAAUACACUGGGAAACCUAAUUAACAGUUUAUUCCCACAUUAAAAUAGCCAAGAUCGGCAAAGUAAAAAUUAUCGUGAACUUAACGUGUCUCUCAUUCUUUCCCUUGUUUAACUGUCACCAGUCAAAAAUGUCAAGCAGGGAGAAAUACAAAACGGAAAGAGAGUGGCGACAAUUCCCACAGUCUAAACUUAUGUACCGCCAUCUAGCGCUCGUCCUUAGAAUGUCUAGUUAACGUAUAGUAGGUGGCAAAAACAAAAGAAACUUUUUAAAAGGAUUGUAU